RNAcentral lists this ribosomal RNA (586 nucleotides) under uncultured bacterium. RNAcentral describes it as "partial 16S ribosomal RNA". It matches the Rfam family "Bacterial small subunit ribosomal RNA", at positions 355 to 1375 of the family's 1533-position model. The record is from RNAcentral.
UGGGGAAUUUUGGACAAUGGGCGAAAGCCUGAUCCAGCAAUGCCGCGUGUGUGAAGAAGGCCUUCGGGUUGUAAAGCACUUUUGUCCGGAAAGAAAUCCUUGGCUCUAAUACAGUCGGGGGAUGACGGUACCGGAAGAAUAAGCACCGGCUAACUACGUGCCAGCAGCCGCGGUAAUACGUAGGGUGCAAGCGUUAAUCGGAAUUACUGGGCGUAAAGCGUGCGCAGGCGGUUUGCUAAGACCGAUGUGAAAUCCCCGGGCUCAACCUGGGAACUGCAUUGGUGACUGGCAGGCUAGAGUAUGGCAGAGGGGGGUAGAAUUCCACGUGUAGCAGUGAAAUGCGUAGAGAUGUGGAGGAAUACCGAUGGCGAAGGCAGCCCCCUGGACCAAUACUGACGCUCAUGCACGAAAGCGUGGGGAGCAAACAGGAUUAGAUACCCUGGUAGUCCACGCCCUAAACGAUGUCAACUAGUUGUUGGGGAUUCAUUUCCUUAGUAACGUAGCUAACGCGUGAAGUUGACCGCCUGGGGAGUACGGUCGCAAGAUUAAAACUCAAAGGAAUUGACGGGGUCAUAGCUGUUUUCCU